UAAGGAAUAUUGGUCAAUGGGCGGAAGCCUGAACCAGCCAUGCCGCGUGCAGGAUGACUGCCCUAUGGGUUGUAAACUGCUUUUGUCCAGGAAUAAACCUAGAUACGUGUAUCUAGCUGAAUGUACUGGAAGAAUAAGGAUCGGCUAACUCCGUGCCAGCAGCCGCGGUAAUACGGAGGAUCCGAGCGUUAUCCGGAUUUAUUGGGUUUAAAGGGUGCGUAGGCGGCCUAUUAAGUCAGGGGUGAAAUACGGUGGCUCAACCAUCGCAGUGCCUUUGAUACUGAUGGGCUUGAAUCCAUUUGAAGUGGGCGGAAUAAGACAAGUAGCGGUGAAAUGCAUAGAUAUGUCUUAGAACUCCGAUUGCGAAGGCAGCUCACUAAGCUGGUAUUGACGCUGAUGCACGAAAGCGUGGGGAUCGAACAGGAUUAGAUACCCUGGUAGUCCACGCCCUAAACGAUGAUAACUCGAUGUUGGCGAUAGACAGCCAGCGUCCAAGCGAAAGCGUUAAGUUAUCCACCUGGGGAGUACGCCCGCAAGGGUGAAACUUAAAUGAAUUGACGGGGUCAUAGCUGUUUCCU
Molecule: ribosomal RNA, 578 nt
Filed under: uncultured bacterium
Lineage: Bacteria
Description: partial 16S ribosomal RNA
Rfam family: Bacterial small subunit ribosomal RNA
Source: RNAcentral